Molecule: ribosomal RNA, 505 nt
Filed under: uncultured bacterium
Lineage: Bacteria
Description: partial 16S ribosomal RNA
Rfam family: Bacterial small subunit ribosomal RNA
Source: RNAcentral
ACUCAAAGGAAUUGACGGGGGCUCACACAAGCGGUGGAGGAUGUGGCUUAAUUCGAGGCUACGCGAAGAACCUUAUCCUAGUCUUGACAUGCACGGAUGGUCCGCCUGAAAGGGAUGGGCCUGCCUUCGGGUGAAACGUGCACAGGUGCUGCAUGGCUGUCGUCAGCUCGUGUCGUGAGAUGUCGGGUUAAGUCCCUUAACGAGCGAAACCCUUGUCUCUAGUUGCCAGCGGGUCAUGCCGGGGACUCUAGAGAGACUGCCGGUGUUAAACCGGAGGAAGGUGGGGAUGACGUCAAGUCCUCAUGGCCUUUAUGACUAGGGCUGCACACGUCCUACAAUGCCGCGUACAAAGGGACGCAAAACCGCGAGGUCAAGCAAAUCCCAAAAAGCGCGGCCCAGUUCGGAUUGCAGGCUGCAACUCGCCUGCAUGAAGCCGGAAUCGCUAGUAAUCGCCGGUCAGCAUACGGCGGUGAAUAUGUUCCUGAGCCUUGCACACACCGCCCGU